Long non-coding RNA from Cornus florida, 1473 nucleotides. RefSeq lists it as uncharacterized. Lineage: Eukaryota; Viridiplantae; Streptophyta; Magnoliopsida; Cornales; Cornaceae. The transcript is spliced from 3 exons. The record is from RefSeq and is a predicted model, not a curated record.
GGUGAAUAUCAUUGAAACCUCCAAAAUGGUCUAUGUUUUAGGGCCAAUAAGGAAACACUACUUCUCCCCUAUUUCUCAAUUUCAUGACCCACAUCUUCCUUUAUCACUUUAAUCUGUUUUGUCCAACCAACAUUAAUUUUCCUCCUCCUCCUCCUCCUCCUCCUCCUCUUUCUGUGUCGUUCACAGUUGAAACCAGUGACCGAGUCCAACUUCACAUGACAAUUUUUAAGCCUAAAGAAAAGUAUAAAGACAAUUUGAUUGCUGUGUUAGUGCAUCUGUUGUUGUAGGUGGGUUGUAAAGGGCUGUUGAAUGGGAUUGCAAUUGGGUUUGGCAAAUAAGGGUCAGAUGACUAACCCUUUGACAUGAGAGUGGUUGGAUGAUCAACAGAAAGGGUUUCUCUUACUGGGUUCAAUAAAUCAAAGAUGUGAUAGCUCUUUGCAAAUGGGUCUCUUUGAAUCUUGCUAUUGAUAAGAUUUUUGAUUUUGGGUUCUUCUUCAGGUAUGGCUUGCAUAAAGGAAAAAUAAAGAUACACUUGAAAAGAAAUUUUGGGUUUCUUGUUCUUUUUGGAACAACAGUGGACUUCAUAGCAAAUUGUGAAAUCAGGAUGGAUUGGCAAGGAAUCAAGGAAUCUGCAUUCUCGAACUCCUCUAAACAUCAAUAGAACCUACAACUGUCUUUUUCUGGGAAAGAUUGCUUGGUUUGCACCUAAUCCAGACUCUGCAGAUGUUCAUGUCAAAAUGGUUUGCUUGUGAGUUUUUGGUGAUUCUAUGGAAUACUUGCCUCAAUUGCUUUGCAGAUGAUCAUGUCAAAAACAGUAGGCUAUGUGAGUUCUUGCCAACUUUUUGGCAUACUUGCCUCAAUUUUCUUUAAAUGACACACCAAACACAGCUUGCCAGGGUGGGGGCGCGGAAAGCUGAAGAACGAUCCGAGUUCUGCAGUAGCUUGUGUUGAAACACACCAUUCUGGGAGUGUAAGCCACUGCCAAUAGGGGAGGGUCUGGUUAUGAUUUUCAUAUUGUGAAUAUGAUUUUAGGAAUAAAAUUCUGUCAAGGGGAUGCUUAGAAAUUAGUGACAUUGAAAUUGGUUGUAGUCAACCAUAUAAUGCAAUCACUAAAUAAACAGUGGAGAGAGAGAGAGAGAGAGGUGCUAAUCGAAGGCAAGCAUCAUAAAACAAUCUUUACAGGGUCACGGUUUAUUCAUCACUGCAUAAUUUUACAUAAAGCAUAUUUCUAGUCCCCAUCUAUGUUACAGUAAAGUAAAAUUUUACGCAAAUCUCCCCCCAACUACAACCAAAAAUAAAUAUCCAUCUAGCUUCUCAUAAUAAAAUUAGAAAAGGGCAUGAUACAAUUUGGGUUUGCCCACUCCUAUACACCUACAAUAAUCACAUGCCAUCGCCCUCAUCUUGCUGGGCAUCAGAUCCAGCUCUUCCUUCUCUAACCAUUUUAUUGCCAUCGGAACCUUCAGCUGUACCUUC